CUGGUGGAAGCCCGCAGCGAUA
RNAcentral lists this small nuclear RNA (22 nucleotides) under Arabidopsis thaliana (thale cress). Its description in RNAcentral is "snRNA_15886". Lineage: Eukaryota; Viridiplantae; Streptophyta; Magnoliopsida; Brassicales; Brassicaceae. The record is from RNAcentral.